CUUGACGAGAGCUGGGCAGCAUUGUUUACUGUGCUCACACUAUCCUAAACUUGUCGUGUUGUUUGCGCCUUCGAAGGCAUCGUCUAUACUUCGAGUGAUCCGAGAAGAUGAAUGUGCAUCUUCUAACAUACCUGGUCGACGGAACUCUUCCAACUACUCAAGUAAGGUUCGACGAAUGGUGAGUGAUUUCAUUGUUAAAGAUAAAAGACCCCCCAAUAAAAUAUAUGCGCCUGGUCAUCAAGUCAAAGGAGAAGCAGACUAUCCUCAUGGAGUGUCACAAUAACUCUGGUACUGGGAACUAGAGCGGCGUCGAGGGCACCCGCAACA
Corythoichthys intestinalis (scribbled pipefish) is the source of this 327-nucleotide long non-coding RNA. RefSeq lists it as uncharacterized. The record is from RefSeq and is a predicted model, not a curated record. The transcript has 3 exons. NCBI's taxonomy places the organism in Eukaryota, Metazoa, Chordata, Actinopteri, Syngnathiformes, Syngnathidae.